Molecule: ribosomal RNA, 401 nt
Filed under: uncultured bacterium
Lineage: Bacteria
Description: bacterial SSU rRNA
Rfam family: Bacterial small subunit ribosomal RNA
Source: RNAcentral
GGGCCCGCACAAGCGGUGGAGCAUGUGGUUUAAUUCGAUGAUACGCGAGGAACCUUACCAGGGCUUAAAUGUAGUGGGACAGGUCUAGAGAUAGACCCUUCUUCGGACUCAUUACAAGGUGCUGCAUGGUUGUCGUCAGCUCGUGCCGUGAGGUGUCAGGUUAAGUCCUAUAACGAGCGCAACCCUAUCGUUAGUUGCCAGCGAGUAAUGUCGGGAACUCUAACGAAACUGCCAGUGCAAACUGUGAGGAAGGUGGGGAUGACGUCAAAUCAUCACGGCCCUUACGUCCUGGGCUACACACGUGCUACAAUGGCCGGUACAGAGAGCAGCCACUUCGCAAGAAGGAGCGAAUCUUCAAAGCCGAUCACAGUUCGGAUCGGAGUCUGCAACUCGACUCCGUG